GACGAACGCUGGCGGCGUGCUUAACACAUGCCAGUCGAACGGAAAGGCCCUGCUUUUGCGGGGUUCUCGAGUGGCGAACGUGUGUGUAACACGUGAGUAUCCCUCCCUUGACUUUGUGAUAUCUUCAGGAAACUGGGGCUAAUACCUGAUAGGAGCUCCUGCUGCAUGGGGGGGGUUGGAAAGUUUCGGCUGUUGUGGAUAGACUCGCGGCUUACCAGCUUGUUGGGUGGGUAGUGGCUUACCAAGCCUUAGACGGAUAGCCUGCCUGGGAGGGGGAACAGGGACAAUGGGACUAAGAGACGCAGCAGACUGGUACGGGAGGCAGCAGUCGAGAGUAUGACACAAUGAGGGGGAGCCUGAUACAGAAGUGCCGGGUGCGGAAUGACGGCCUUCGGGUUGUGAACCGCUUUCGCCUGUGACGAAGCGUGAGUGACGGUAAUGGGUAAAGAAGCACCGGCUAACUACGUG
This 468-nucleotide ribosomal RNA is filed under the name uncultured bacterium. RNAcentral describes it as "partial 16S ribosomal RNA". It matches the Rfam family "Bacterial small subunit ribosomal RNA", at positions 28 to 507 of the family's 1533-position model. The record is from RNAcentral.